AAAGCCAACUUUUUUUUACUGCUGAACCCAAAGAAUUUACUGGAAUUUUGACCCAAGCAGGCUGUGGAGACUUCCUGCUAUGGUUAGAUGCCUUCCUCUUGUGAUACCUACUUAUGAGUUAUUUCUCCUUGAGCAAUAUACAUGCCUUGAAUGCCUCCUGGUUCAAUGGACAUGCUUGGAAGCACAGAAGCAACCUGUCACCUGUGUCUUUAGUACGGGCAACUCCCUGACAUGGAGCCUGCAAAAUCAGCAGAAAAUGGCCCAAAUGCUUGGUGCCCUGCACCUACAUCGAUGAUCUGGAUGGAUGGAGCCCCAAGCUCCUGGCUUUAGCCUUGGCCAGCCCCCAGCAUUACCUACUGAUGUGUUAAGACCAGUCUGGACUUUUAGAAUCCAAGCUGCGUACUUACAGGAAACUCCAGAUUAAUCAACUAUCUGAGAAGUCAACCAAAAUCAGUUCAGAAUUCUACCAACAGGCUACAAACUCUGUCCAACAUUGCCUUCUAGGAAGACUGUAAAAUGUUUCUCCAGAUUAAACAAUUUACGAAUGAGUUUACUCCUAGCAGUAAUUUUAUGGAAAAUGAUUCAAUCUCCUUGGUGAGUUAAGUUAAAGGAAUAAAGCUCCGAUUAUGC
Molecule: long non-coding RNA, 630 nt
Organism: Ochotona curzoniae (black-lipped pika)
Lineage: Eukaryota; Metazoa; Chordata; Mammalia; Lagomorpha; Ochotonidae
Exons: 5
Source: RefSeq, a predicted model, not a curated record